This 441-nucleotide ribosomal RNA is filed under the name uncultured bacterium. Its description in RNAcentral is "partial 16S ribosomal RNA". It matches the Rfam family "Bacterial small subunit ribosomal RNA", at positions 338 to 795 of the family's 1533-position model. The record is from RNAcentral.
CCUACGGGUGGCAGCAGUGGGGAAUAUUGCACAAUGGGGGAAACCCUGAUGCAGCAACGCCGCGUGAAGGAAGAAGGUUUUCGGAUUGUAAACUUCUGUUCUUAGUGAAGAAGAAUGACGGUAGCUAAGGAGCAAGCCACGGCUAACUACGUGCCCGCAGCCGCGGUAAUACGUAGGGGGCAAGCGUUAUCCGGAUUUACGGGGUGUAAAGGGAGCGUGGACGGCAAGGCAAGCCAGAGGUGAAAGGGCAGGGCUCAACCCUGUACAUGCUUUUGGAACUGUGGUGCUAGAGUGCAGGAGAGGUAAGUGGAAUUCCUAGUGUAGCGGUGAAAUGCGUAGAUAUUAGGAGGAACACCAGUGGCGAAGGCGGCUUACUGGACUGUAACUGACGUUGAGGCUCGAAAGCGUGGGGAGCAAACAGGAUUAGAUACCCGAGUAGUC